UUAAGUUAUUAAGGGCGCACGGUGGAUGCCUUGGCACUAGAAGCCUACGAAGGACGUUACUAACGACGAUAUGCUUUGGGGAGCUGUAAGUAAGCUUUGAUCCAGAGAUUUCCGAAUGGGGAAACCCAGCACGAGUUAUGUCGUGUUAUCGAUAUGUGAAUACAUAGCAUAUCUGAAGGCAGACGCAGGGAACUGAAACAUCUUAGUACCCGCAGGAAGAGAAAGAAAAAUCGAUUCCCUGAGUAGCGGCGAGCGAAACGGGAAGAGCCCAAACCAACGAGCUUGCUUGUUGGGGUUGUAGGACACUCUAUACGGAGUUACAAAAGAACAAAUUAGACGAAUCAUCUGGAAAGAUGAAUCAAAGAAGGUAAUAAUCCUGUAGUCGAAAGUUUGUUCACUCUUGAGUGGAUCCUGAGUACGACGGAACACGAGAAAUUCCGUCGGAAUCCGGGAGGACCAUCUCCCAAGGCUAAAUACUCUCUAGUGACCGAUAGUGAACCAGUACCGUGAGGGAAAGGUGAAAAGUACCCCGGAAGGGGAGUGAAAUAGAACUUGAAACCGUGUGCUUACAAGUAGUCAGAGCCCGUUAAUGGGUGAUGGCGUGCCUUUUGUAGAAUGAACCGGCGAGUUACGAUUUGAUGCAAGGUUAAGCAGUUAAUGUGGAGCCGUAGCGAAAGCGAGUCUGAAUAGGGCGUUGAGUAUUUGGUCGUAGACCCGAAACCAGGUGAUCUACCCAUGACCAGGCUGAAGUUCAGGUAACACUGAAUGGAGGGCCGAACCGACUUACGUUGAAAAGUGAGCGGAUGAGUUGUGGGUAGCGGAGAAAUUCCAAUCGAACCUGGAGAUAGCUGGUUCUCUCCGAAAUAGCUUUAGGGCUAGCCUUAAGUAAUGAUUAUUGGAGGUAGAGCACUGUUUGGACGAGGGGCCCUUAUCGGGUUACCGAAUUCAGACAAACUCCGAAUGCCAAUCAAUUUUAUCUUAGGAGUUAGAACGCGGGUGAUAAGGUCCGUGUUCGAAAGGGAAACAGCCCAGACCACCAGCUAAGGUCCCAAAAUAUAUGUUAAGUGGAAAAGGAUGUGGCGUUGCCCAGACAACUAGUAUGUUGGCUUAGAAGCAGCCAUCAUUUAAAGAGUGCGUAAUAGCUCACUAGUCGAGUGACACUGCGCCGAAAAUGUACCGGGGCUAAACAUAUUACCGAAGCUGUGGAUUGUCCGUAAGGACAGUGGUAGGAGAGCGUUCUAAGGGCGUUGAAGCAUGAUCGCAAGGACAUGUGGAGCGCUUAGAAGUGAGAAUGCCGGUGUGAGUAGCGAAAGACGGGUGAGAAUCCCGUCCACCGAUUGACUAAGGUUUCCAGAGGAAGGCUCGUCCGCUCUGGGUUAGUCGGGUCCUAAGCUGAGGCCGAUAGGCGUAGGCGAUGGAUAACAGGUUGAUAUUCCUGUACCACCAAAUUUCGUUUUAAGCGAUGGGGGGACGCAGUAGGAUAGGCGAAGCGUACUAUUGGAUUGUACGUCCAAGCAAUGAGACUGAGUGUUAGGCAAAUCCGGCACUCUUAAGGUCAAGUUGUGAUGGGGAGAGGAAAUUGUUUCCUCGAGUCGUUGAUUUCACACUGCCAAGAAAAGCCUCUAGCUAGAAUUUUGGUGCCCGUACCGCAAACCGACACAGGUAGUCAAGAUGAGAAUUCUAAGGUGAGCGAGCGAACUCUCGUUAAGGAACUCGGCAAAAUGACCCCGUAACUUCGGGAGAAGGGGUGCUCUUUAGGGUUAACGCCCAGGAGAGCCGCAGUGAAUAGGCCCAAGCGACUGUUUAUCAAAAACACAGGUCUCUGCUAAACCGUAAGGUGAUGUAUAGGGGCUGACGCCUGCCCGGUGCUGGAAGGUUAAGAGGAGUGGUUAGCUUCGGCGAAGCUACGAAUCGAAGCCCCAGUAAACGGCGGCCGUAACUAUAACGGUCCUAAGGUAGCGAAAUUCCUUGUCGGGUAAGUUCCGACCCGCACGAAAGGCGUAACGAUUUGGGCACUGUCUCAACGAGAGACUCGGUGAAAUCAUAGUACCUGUGAAGAUGCAGGUUACCCGCGACAGGACGGAAAGACCCCGUGGAGCUUUACUGUAGUCUGAUAUUGAAAUUCGGUACAACUUGUACAGGAUAGGUAGGAGCCUUUGAAACGUGAGCGCCAGCUUACGUCGAGGCGUUGGUGGGAUACUACCCUUGCUGUGUUGGAUUUCUAACCCGCACCAUUUAUCAUGGU
This 2245-nucleotide ribosomal RNA is filed under the name Staphylococcus equorum. Its description in RNAcentral is "bacterial LSU rRNA". It matches the Rfam family "Bacterial large subunit ribosomal RNA", at positions 3 to 2245 of the family's 2925-position model. The record is from RNAcentral. Lineage: Bacteria; Bacillati; Bacillota; Bacilli; Caryophanales; Staphylococcaceae.